UGGAUUUGGAGUCAGAAGGCAUAGAUUUGACUGUCACAAGCAAAUACCGACAAAAUAGGGGAGGAUCCUGUGAGAUAACACAAGGGACUCAGAAUAAUUAAUCUACACUGGAGAGACUCGGCUGAAGGUUUCAGAAAUAUUCAUUAACCCAAUAGAAUGGGGAUGGAUAUGUUGACACAGAUGCCAAAUGGAGAAGAUCAAGGCUGGUGUCAGGAAAGCCUUAGGAAGAUAGAGACAUUGGAGGCAAGGCAGAGGUGGUGAUGAAAGAAUGUUGGAGAAAUAAUGAAGAAUCAAUUCUGAAGGGUCAGAACAAAAAUGACAAAACUUGUCAUGUUGUGACCUGGAACCACUCAGGAGGAACCAUUGUUUCUGCAUCAUUGACCAUCGUCAUUUCUGAAAUAUCAUACCAUUCAAAUUCUGUAACUUUAAUUGAACUGAAGAGUUAAGAACCUAUUUUUGUUUAACUUUAUUUCUAUAUCCUAUUACUCUGUGUAACUUAAUUCCCUUUGUCAGGUUAUUUAUCUCAGGAUAUUUAAUUCAAUUUUGAUUAUACAUAUAUACCACAUGGUAUAACCCAUGUACAUUGCAAAUGCAAUGGUUGUUGAUUCUUGCAUGCUAAUUUAAUUCUCAAUUUUAUUUUUUUG
Long non-coding RNA from Magallana angulata, 644 nucleotides. RefSeq lists it as uncharacterized. Lineage: Eukaryota; Metazoa; Mollusca; Bivalvia; Ostreida; Ostreidae. The record is from RefSeq and is a predicted model, not a curated record. The transcript has 3 exons.